AAACCUGAGGAACCCGAAAGAUCGAAUGGGAAGAUUCAGCGUCAGCGGCGCUUGCUCGGCGGGAUCGUGCGUCGUCUCGGAUCGGAUUCUUCGGUCCUGGGAUGACGUUAAUCUUUCCAUGCCUUGUUUCGGCGUCGUCGUCGUGCACUUCUUCCCUAGUAGAACGUCGCGACCCGUUGGGUGCCGGUCUACGGUACGAGCGGGUUAGACUGUCGCGUCGCUUAGGCGCACGCGGCAGACCCUCGUUAACCCGGCCGGCUGCCCGGCGGUCGAACUUUUAUAAGGUAUCUUGCCGCAAUUGAACUAAAUGCGUCGCGGCCCGUCGCAAGCGAGGUCAGUUAAGCGUUCAUCGCGCGCGCGGAGUUACGGACCCGGUGCCGUACCCGCGGCUGGCCGGCUGUUGGCAGACGGAGUCCUUCGACGGGCAAUACACACAAACGAUACCGGUCUGCGACGCUACUGCUUUGGGUACUCUCAGGACCC
RNAcentral lists this ribosomal RNA (483 nucleotides) under Metapolybia cingulata. Its description in RNAcentral is "eukaryotic LSU rRNA". The record is from RNAcentral. Lineage: Eukaryota; Metazoa; Arthropoda; Insecta; Hymenoptera; Vespidae.